AGCGAACGCUGGCGGCAGGCCUAACACAUGCAAGUCGAACGAACUCUUCGGAGUUAGUGGCGGACGGGUGAGUAACACGUGGGAACGUGCCUUUUGGUUCGGAAUAACCCAGGGAAAAUUGUGCUAAUACCGAAUGUGCCCUUCGGGGGAAAGAUUUAUCGCCAUUAGAGCGGCCCGCGUCUGAUUAGCUAGUUGGUGAGGUAACGGCUCACCAAGGCGACGAUCAGUAGCUGGUCUGAGAGGAUGACCAGCCACACUGGGACUGAGACACGGCCCAGACUCCUACGGGAGGCAGCAGUGGGGAAUCUUGCGCAAUGGGCGAAAGCCUGACGCAGCCAUGCCGCGUGAAUGAUGAAGGUCUUAGGAUUGUAAAAUUCUUUCACCGGGGACGAUAAUGACGGUACCCGGAGAAGAAGCCCCGGCUAACUUCGUG
RNAcentral lists this ribosomal RNA (433 nucleotides) under uncultured bacterium. Its description in RNAcentral is "partial 16S ribosomal RNA". It matches the Rfam family "Bacterial small subunit ribosomal RNA", at positions 29 to 507 of the family's 1533-position model. The record is from RNAcentral.